GGAUAUGAGGGUGAUCUGCCUGUGACAUCUGUGCCAGGGUUGAUUCGGCUCAUCUGGCUGGCUAGGCGGGUGUCUCCAUCCUCUCUCACCACUCUUAGUGCUUCCCUACUGAGGCUUCAUGAUCAAAGAGGGCAACCUUCCCCAAACAGAGACAAAUGGGAGGGUGUAUGAGUAGCUGCGUUCCCCUGCUAUAACAUCCCAAUAAGCUCUCAAACUGGAAAUGAACAUGUUAUAUAUAGAUAUACACACACAGUGUGUAUUUGUGUGUUU
Molecule: unclassified non-coding RNA, 270 nt
Organism: Erinaceus europaeus (western European hedgehog)
Lineage: Eukaryota; Metazoa; Chordata; Mammalia; Eulipotyphla; Erinaceidae
Gene: 7SK
Rfam family: 7SK RNA
About the family: 7SK was discovered as an abundant small nuclear RNA in the mid-70s but a possible function has only recently been suggested. Two independent studies have found that 7SK RNA binds the CDK9/cyclin T complex (known as elongation factor P-TEFb). P-TEFb activates transcription by phosphorylating the C-terminal domain of RNA polymerase II.
Source: Ensembl